GGGCCAAGUCAGAGUACUUCAAACUCCCUGCGACCUCGUUGGAGACAAAUACACCGACGGCCCUCAUUAAUCGGACCAGCAAGAGCUCUUUCCUGAGAGCGGCGUAUUUAUAUCAUCGUUCCGCCUUGCUGCCAUGAGACAUGCUUCAAAGCCCAAAUGUAUGCGUUUAUUCCACGCACUUUUUGACCUCCUUUUUACAGUAGAGGAGUGUCCCUUUUGGUCGCCCUGAAAACAAACCUGCAGGAACACGAAAGCGCAUCCUUGACCGGAAAAAAGUUGAAGGAAUCCUAACGUAUGUCCUGAGAUGCGGUACCCUUCCUGAUUGGGACAAUAUUGAGGAGGCCAAGCUCAAAAAAGCUUUGGUAAACAAAUGUCGGGCCAGAGCCGGUUUUAAGUAGGCCCUUGUACCUGUCAAGUUCAUUCUAUGGUAGGAUGUUUCCUUGGUAAACAUGUUCAAUAUUUUGGUCUAGGUUUGCGUAGUAUAUAUUGUAAAAAAUUGCCUUAUGAUGUAGCUUUUAGUACCACGUUAUUCUGUGAUAAUGCAUAUUGAGGUGUGCUGUGCCAACCAAAUUUGGCACUGAUGCCAGCGCCCCCCGCGACCCCAAAAGGGAAUAAGCGGUAGAAAAUGGAUGGAUGGAUGGAUGCAACCUCACUAACAAGCUAGCGGCUAAUAUCCUUUCACAGUGCAAAGUUUUUUCCAAAUAAAAAAAUAAUGCAACCGGAAA
Long non-coding RNA from Nerophis ophidion (straightnose pipefish), 725 nucleotides. RefSeq lists it as uncharacterized. Lineage: Eukaryota; Metazoa; Chordata; Actinopteri; Syngnathiformes; Syngnathidae. The record is from RefSeq and is a predicted model, not a curated record. The transcript is spliced from 2 exons.